RNAcentral lists this long non-coding RNA (410 nucleotides) under Aquilegia coerulea. RNAcentral's name for it is "long non-coding RNA (ACOE_LNC000593)". Lineage: Eukaryota; Viridiplantae; Streptophyta; Magnoliopsida; Ranunculales; Ranunculaceae. The record is from RNAcentral.
AAAAAGAUACAUCGUGUGUGCAAAGAAAAUGAAGGAGUAUUUAAGCGUAUUAAGGGAACAAUCACUGUGUUGCAUAUAUCUCAUAGAAGUACAUGUUUUGGAUACCAUAUGAGAACCACCCUCAGCAGUGUCACACAUGACUUCAUCAUCAUACUCCCGGUUCAUUUCUAAAUUCUGGACCCUGCAGCCGUGAAAAUUCAGCAACCUCAUAUCUGAAACUGGUGUCUGCAGCUGCCUAGACACUUCCAAUGUAUCCUCCAGACUCUGCAUGAUCAAAAGAUUCCUUUCCAGUUCAAAAGAUCAGAGAAUUUGGAGUUAACUCUGAGUUCUAUUGCUUUGAUGUCCAUAUUCAACCAGAGCCAUAUCAUCGAUUCUAUACAGGGGAUUCUUCUUCUCGGCUUCUAUGUCUC